This 180-nucleotide unclassified non-coding RNA is filed under the name Glomeromycetes sp. RNAcentral's name for it is "partial contains 5.8S ribosomal RNA and internal transcribed spacer 2". The stretch from base 1 to 71 matches the Rfam family "5.8S ribosomal RNA", at positions 84 to 154 of the family's 154-position model. The record is from RNAcentral. Lineage: Eukaryota; Fungi; Glomeromycota; Glomeromycetes.
GUGAAUCAUCGAAUUUUUGAACGCAAAUUGCACUUCCUGGUAUUCCGGAGAGCAUGCCUGUUUGAGGGUCAGUUAAAAUAAAACUCGGUGUGGUUGCUGCCUUUCGUGGUGACGCACCGGAUUUGGGUCGUCUUGUCUUCCGUUUAGCGAACUUCCAUUUUGCAUGAAUCAUUCGGUACG